AAAAUACUCCCUCCAUCCCAAAAUUCUUGUAUUAAGUUUGACUAGAAAUGGAUAUAUCUAAAUACUAAAAUGUGAUUAGAUAUAUUCAUACUUAGCCAAAUGUAAGACAAGAAUUUUGGAACGAAGAGAGUAGUAA
Non-coding RNA from Hordeum vulgare subsp. vulgare (domesticated barley), 136 nucleotides. The record is from Rfam. Lineage: Eukaryota; Viridiplantae; Streptophyta; Magnoliopsida; Poales; Poaceae.